ACCAGAUGCUGUGGAAGUCUGACUGCCUUCUGACUGUAUGAAAAAAGAUCUUAGAAAGAUCAGCCCAACAGGCGGCAAGAUGACCUCUGCAGUUGACAAGUGACCUCAGCAGAAUGGAUUUCCUUUCAACUGCGGAGGUGCUUCUUGUGGAGGUCUGCCAUUAUGUCUGCAUCCACAUCCCUCUGGAUU
Long non-coding RNA from Micropterus dolomieu (smallmouth bass), 189 nucleotides. RefSeq lists it as uncharacterized. The record is from RefSeq and is a predicted model, not a curated record. The transcript is spliced from 3 exons. Lineage: Eukaryota; Metazoa; Chordata; Actinopteri; Centrarchiformes; Centrarchidae.